Long non-coding RNA from Pseudophryne corroboree (corroboree frog), 462 nucleotides. RefSeq lists it as uncharacterized. The transcript has 2 exons. NCBI's taxonomy places the organism in Eukaryota, Metazoa, Chordata, Amphibia, Anura, Myobatrachidae. The record is from RefSeq and is a predicted model, not a curated record.
GAUCACUGGGCUCGUAUAUUCUAGUGUAGUUGAUAUCAAUAUGCAUGGAAGACAUUUUAAUGGGGGAGGGAUAUAGUGGCAUAAAUCUAUAUUUGGAUAUAUGAGAUUAGCAAUUUUCUUAUUGAUACAGAUCAAGAUCAACCGCCGGAUACAGUACUCCAACAUCAUAACUCAUCAGAGUAUAUAGUCAAGGUGUCAUUUGCUCUUUCCGAUAACUUUUUAAUGAUACCACAUUCCCAGAAGUUGUGGAAAAAGGUUGCCGAAGAGUGAAAGCAUUUCAUACAACUUCCAGUCUCUUCCUCUACGAAAUGUCGUCUCUGUGCCUGGGAGAUAUAUGCCCUGUACACAGUUUUAACAUGAAUCUCUUGUAAAGAGGAUGUCUUCAGUAUUUGUAAUGUUUUAUCAUAAUGUUGGAAUAUGUAUUCCGAAUUUGUAAUGCUUGGAAUAAAUCUACACCAAGAA